UCUCCGUUGGUGAACCAGCGGAGGGAUCAUUACCGAGUUUACAACUCCCAAACCCAAUGUGAACGUUACCAAACUGUUGCCUCGGCGGGAUCUCUGCCCCGGGUGCGUCGCAGCCCCGGACCAAGGCGCCCGCCGGAGGACCAACCAAAACUCUUUUUGUAUACCCCCUCGCGGGUUUUUUUAUAAUCUGAGCCUUCUCGGCGCCUCUCGUAGGCGUUUCGAAAAUGAAUCAAAACUUUCAACAACGGAUCUCUUGGUUCUGGCAUCGAUGAAGAACGCAGCGAAAUGCGAUAAGUAAUGUGAAUUGCAGAAUUCAGUGAAUCAUCGAAUCUUUGAACGCACAUUGCGCCCGCCAGUAUUCUGGCGGGCAUGCCUGUCCGAGCGUCAUUUCAACCCUCGAACCCCUCCGGGGGGUCGGCGUUGGGGAUCGGCCCUGCCUCUUGGCGGUGGCCGUCUCCGAAAUACAGUGGCGGUCUCGCCGCAGCCUCUCCUGCGCAGUAGUUUGCACACUCGCAUCGGGAGCGCGGCGCGUCCCCAGCCGUUAAACACCCAACUUCUGAAAUGUUGACCUCGGAUCAGGUAGAAUACCCGCUUGAACCUAA
This 602-nucleotide ribosomal RNA is filed under the name uncultured Trichoderma. Its description in RNAcentral is "eukaryotic LSU rRNA". The stretch from base 234 to 387 matches the Rfam family "5.8S ribosomal RNA". Lineage: Eukaryota; Fungi; Ascomycota; Sordariomycetes; Hypocreales; Hypocreaceae. The record is from RNAcentral.